RNAcentral lists this non-coding RNA (45 nucleotides) under Schistosoma curassoni. The record is from RNAcentral. Lineage: Eukaryota; Metazoa; Platyhelminthes; Trematoda; Strigeidida; Schistosomatidae.
AUCCUGCUGACGAGUCCCAAAUAGGGCGAAGCCCGCGUCCACGAU